This is a non-coding RNA of Podarcis lilfordi (Lilford's wall lizard), 73 nucleotides long. The record is from the annotation of a GenBank genome assembly. Lineage: Eukaryota; Metazoa; Chordata; Lepidosauria; Squamata; Lacertidae.
ACUCAUGUAGCUCAGUCAGUAGAGUGUGAGACUGUGACUCUCAGGGUUGUGAGUUCGAACUCCAUGUUGGGCA